This 840-nucleotide long non-coding RNA is filed under the name Anser brachyrhynchus (Pink-footed goose). Its description in RNAcentral is "lncRNA (ENSABRG00000001046.1)". Lineage: Eukaryota; Metazoa; Chordata; Aves; Anseriformes; Anatidae. The record is from RNAcentral.
CCUCCCCGAGCCCCGCUGCCUCCCGCCUCCCUCCUCCCCGGCGCCCGCCUCCCCGCGGCGUGCCCGCCUCCCUCCCUCCGUCCCCCGGCCGGCAGCCGGGCAGCGGGCGGGCGCUGCCGCCGGCCCCACAGCACCGCGGCCGGGCUGCGCGGAGCGGAGCGGAGCGGAGCGGGGCUGGCUGGGCGGGGAGGGAGGGAGGGAGGGGAGUGGAUGUGUGUGUGUGUGGAAAGAGCGGGGGGGGGCGAAGGGGGGGAAAUCAAAUAAAUAAAUAAGCUCCCCACCAAUAAGAGAGGCAGCGGCUGGCGAGCAGGCUGGGCUCGGCUGGGAGAGGUCCUCGCUCGGCUGCGUGUUUGUUUGUGUUGUGACCAGAGCCGCGAAGUUCAGAGCCCAAACGUGUUGCUCCGCUCCGCUCCACCUGCUCGGCCGGCGGGGGGGUGCCGCUUCGGCCGCCCCGCCGCCCUCCGGGGCCGAAGGACGGGAGAGGAGCGCGGGGCCGCGCCCGCCGCCCGCCCGCCUUCCCCUCAGCCACCGCCGGGGAGGCGACGGACAGGUGUAUCUCCAGAAAAACAAAAAAUUAAUGACAGGAUCAGAAUACACUCUGGAUUUUCUUCCCAUGUGCAGACUACACCUGAAGUGUUGAAUUCACAUACAGCAACACCUUCCUAUGACACGGAAUGGAAUAGAACAGUUCACCAUAUGUAAAUGCAGAGGAUGUUUAAAGCCUAAUAUGACAAUUGUAGCACGGAUAUAUGCUUUUAUAACCUUGAAAAUUCAAUUCCCUGUCUCUGUUAGUGCUCAGAUUUUAGGAGGCCACAGAUCGACACUCUUAAGUACCCUUUG